Molecule: ribosomal RNA, 683 nt
Filed under: uncultured Bacilli bacterium
Lineage: Bacteria; Bacillati; Bacillota; Bacilli
Description: bacterial SSU rRNA
Rfam family: Bacterial small subunit ribosomal RNA
Source: RNAcentral
UCGAGCGGACCGACGGGAGCUUGCUCCCUUAGGUCAGCGGCGGACGGGUGAGUAACACGUGGGUAACCUGCCUGUAAGACUGGGAUAACUCCGGGAAACCGGGGCUAAUACCGGAUGCUUGAUUGAACCGCAUGGUUCCAAUCAUAAAAGGUGGCUUUUAGCUACCACUUACAGAUGGACCCGCGGCGCAUUAGCUAGUUGGUGAGGUAACGGCUCACCAAGGCGACGAUGCGUAGCCGACCUGAGAGGGUGAUCGGCCACACUGGGACUGAGACACGGCCCAGACUCCUACGGGAGGCAGCAGUAGGGAAUCUUCCGCAAUGGACGAAAGUCUGACGGAGCAACGCCGCGUGAGUGAUGAAGGUUUUCGGAUCGUAAAACUCUGUUGUUAGGGAAGAACAAGUACCGUUCGAAUAGGGCGGCACCUUGACGGUACCUAACCAGAAAGCCACGGCUAACUACGUGCCAGCAGCCGCGGUAAUACGUAGGUGGCAAGCGUUGUCCGGAAUUAUUGGGCGUAAAGCGCGCGCAGGCGGUUUCUUAAGUCUGAUGUGAAAGCCCCCGGCUCAACCGGGGAGGGUCAUUGGAAACUGGGGAACUUGAGUGCAGAAGAGGAGAGUGGAAUUCCACGUGUAGCGGUGAAAUGCGUAGAGAUGUGGAGGAACACCAGUGGCGAAGGCGAC